Long non-coding RNA from Melanotaenia boesemani (Boeseman's rainbowfish), 1168 nucleotides. RefSeq lists it as uncharacterized. NCBI's taxonomy places the organism in Eukaryota, Metazoa, Chordata, Actinopteri, Atheriniformes, Melanotaeniidae. The transcript is spliced from 5 exons. The record is from RefSeq and is a predicted model, not a curated record.
GAGAGCUACAGAUGGACAAGGUAGUAAAAGAGAAUGUCUGUGAUUCUCACUGCAAUUUCAUUAUUGCUCAGAUUGAGUCAGCUAAUAAGGAAUGAAUCACAGAACUGACUGAAGAAAUAUUGAGCUGUGGCUACCAGGGUCCUGUUGACAUGAAAAGGAGAGAUGAAAUCAUUCGGGCAGUUGUACUUCACGCCACUGUCCGUCUGGUGCCGCUUUUGUCCCAACUUCGGGAUGGGCUCAAACUUUAUGGUCUUGUUGACCUGGUCUGCCAAAACCCAAUCAUCUGCCAACCACUGUUUGUUCCAGGGAUAGACAAUGAAGGCUGAUGCUGACUUCGUUUUUACAAAAUGCCACCCUGACUUCAGCGAGAAAGGCUCCAACAAACACCAAGUGGAAAUUAGCAUCAUGAACCACCUGCAAGAUUUCUUACAAGAAUUGGAAUCUGGUGAAGAGACAGAGUUUGAUGACAGCCCAACUUCUCUCUCCCCAAGCAAAUUCUUACAGUGGCUCACAAGACAGGGCCACAUGCCUAUUCUACCUGAAGAUAAAAGAAACUUCAAGGUCUGUGUGCAGUUCAACCACUCCUGUCACACUGAGUGGGGUGUUCAUGGAAUAUGCUAUCCAACAGUUUCGGCAUGUAGCAAUACAAUACAUCUACCUGUCCAGCAUAUGCAAACCUAUGCUAAGUUUAAACAAGUGAUGACAGAGGCUAUCCAGCUUGGGCAGGCAUUCCAUCAGGUGUAGGAUUAGAUAAAAUCAAACUAACUUGAUGUUACAAGCACUUUGACAGCACUAUAUGGCAUUUUAUUAUUCUGGUUUUAGGAGUUUUGAAAAUGUUUUGACUGCCUUUAAGAAAAAAUGUUUUGGGAAUGUUACAAGCUAUAUGGCAUUUUCCUAUUAGUUUUAGGAAUCCCACAGAUGUUUUGACUGCCUUGCAGAAUAAAAUGUAUUUUUUUUUCAUAACUGUUACAAGCACUUUUACACUUUAUGGCAUUUUACUAUUCUAGUUUUGGGAGUUCUAAAGAUGUUUUGACUGCCUUUCAGAAUAGGAAAAAAAGUCUUUGUGUUCCAGAUAAGUACUCCUUACCUGACUGUAUGACAUAGCGAUGGCGUCCCAGUGGAAAAGGAACCGCCCCUAAGACUAUUCAUGUGUAUUAAAAUAUAUUUG